Molecule: ribosomal RNA, 253 nt
Filed under: uncultured bacterium
Lineage: Bacteria
Description: partial 16S ribosomal RNA
Rfam family: Bacterial small subunit ribosomal RNA
Source: RNAcentral
UACGUAGGGUGCGAGCGUUGUCCGGAAUUAUUGGGCGUAAAGGGCUCGUAGGCGGUUUGUCGCGUCGGGAGUGAAAACCAGGUGCUUAACACCUGGCUUGCUUUCGAUACGGGCAGACUAGAGGUAUUCAGGGGAGAACGGAAUUCCUGGUGUAGCGGUGAAAUGCGCAGAUAUCAGGAGGAACACCGGUGGCGAAGGCGAGGUGCUGGACCCCUUCUGACGCUGAGGCGCGAAAGCCAGGGGAGCGAACGGG